RNAcentral lists this ribosomal RNA (253 nucleotides) under uncultured bacterium. Its description in RNAcentral is "partial 16S ribosomal RNA". It matches the Rfam family "Bacterial small subunit ribosomal RNA", at positions 524 to 776 of the family's 1533-position model. The record is from RNAcentral.
UACGUAGGGGGCAAGCGUUAUCCGGAUUUACUGGGUGUAAAGGGAGCGCAGGCGGCUUUGCAAGUCUGAUGUGAAAGGCCGGGGCUCAACCCCGGGACUGCAUUGGAAACUGUAAAGCUAGAGUGCCGGAGAGGUAAGCGGAAUUCCUAGUGUAGCGGUGAAAUGCGUAGAUAUUAGGAGGAACACCAGUGGCGAAGGCGGCUUACUGGACGGCAACUGACGCUGAGGCUCGAAAGCGUGGGGAGCAAACAGG